This 153-nucleotide small nucleolar RNA is filed under the name Phocoena sinus (vaquita). RNAcentral describes it as "Small nucleolar RNA SNORA40 (ENSPSNG00000014094.1)". It matches the Rfam family "Small nucleolar RNA SNORA40". Rfam says of the family: The snoRNA ACA 40 belongs to the H/ACA family of snoRNAs and guides the pseudouridylation of 28S rRNA subunit at position U4565. NB This family has a high threshold value to exclude a large number of closely related sequences that do not appear to have conserved H and ACA boxes, and may be pseudogenes. Lineage: Eukaryota; Metazoa; Chordata; Mammalia; Artiodactyla; Phocoenidae. The record is from Rfam by way of RNAcentral.
AACACUUGGAAGUCCACAGGCAAGAAACAAACAAAAACAAAGAGAAAAAAAAAAUCCCAAAAGACUCUCCUUAUAGACAGGUGCAAAAAUCCUCUUUUGCAACGCAGAACUCAUUGUUUAGUAUGAGUUUUGGUACAGGGAAGAAGGAACAUG